ACUCCUACGGGAGGCAGCAGUAGGGAAUAUUGCACAAUGGGGGAAACCCUGAUGCAGCAAUGCCACGUGAGCGAGGAAGGUCUUCGGAUUGUAAAGCUCUGUCCUAUAGGAAGAAAUGGGUAUUAUGGUUAAUACCCAUAGUAUUUGACGGUACUAUAGAAGAAAGCACCGGCUAACUCCGUGCCAGCAGCCGCGGUAAUACGGAGGGUGCAAGCGUUGUUCGGAUUUACUGGGCGUAAAGCGCGCGCAGGCGGAUAAGCAAGUCAGAUGUGAAAUCUCGGGGCUCAACCCCGAAACUGCGUCUGAAACUGUUUAUCUAGAGUCUCAUAGGGGGUAGGGAAUUUCACGUGUAGGGGUAAAAUCCGUAGAGAUGUGAAGGAACACCGGUGGCGAAGGCGCCUACCUGGAUGAGUACUGACGCUGAGGCGCGAAAGCGUGGGGAGCAAACAGGAUUAGAUACCCUGGUAGGAUAGCGU
This 476-nucleotide ribosomal RNA is filed under the name uncultured bacterium. Its description in RNAcentral is "bacterial SSU rRNA". It matches the Rfam family "Bacterial small subunit ribosomal RNA", at positions 335 to 800 of the family's 1533-position model. The record is from RNAcentral.